RNAcentral lists this non-coding RNA (77 nucleotides) under Pseudomonas sp. SJZ077. RNAcentral also lists the same sequence under 1 other name. The record is from RNAcentral. Lineage: Bacteria; Pseudomonadati; Pseudomonadota; Gammaproteobacteria; Pseudomonadales; Pseudomonadaceae.
AGCGAGGCUUGCCCGCGAAGAGGUUAACGCGGUCUUCCUAAUAGACCGCGUCAAUUUCUUCGCGGGCAAGCCUCGCU